This 504-nucleotide ribosomal RNA is filed under the name uncultured bacterium. RNAcentral's name for it is "partial 16S ribosomal RNA". It matches the Rfam family "Bacterial small subunit ribosomal RNA", at positions 29 to 523 of the family's 1533-position model. The record is from RNAcentral.
AACGAACGCUGGCGGCGUGCUUAACACAUGCAAGUCGAACGUGAAAGUCCGCAAGGAUGAGUAAAGUGGCGCACGGGUGAGUAUUAGAUAGGAACGUACCGAUUAGAGGGGGAAAUCCACGGGAAACUGUGGUUAAUCCCGCAUAAGUUCCGCAUGCAAGAAAGAAAGCUUUGAGCAAUCAAAGCACUCGCAAGUCGAUCGUCUUAUCUCCCAUUAGCUAGUUGGGAGGGUAAAGGCCUACCAAGGCUUCGAUGGGUAGCUGGUCUGAGAGGAUGAUCAGCCAAACUGGAACUGAGACACGGUCCAGACACCUACGGGAGGCAGCAGUGGGGAAUUUUGCACAAUGGGGGAAACCCUGAUGCAGCAACGCCGCGUGAGUGAAGAAGGCCCUUGGGUCGUAAAGCUCUUUCGGCUAGGAAGAAGGGUAUUUGUGUUAAUAGCUCGGAUACUGGACGGUACUAGAAGAAGAAGCACCGGCUAAUUCCGUGCCAGCAGCCGCCGUAA